ACUCUGUUCCAAGAAUUCUACUCUUUUACAGAGCAUCUUUUUGAGUGUCUUGAGUUUAAUUGGAUUUGGAUCUCCACAUCGUUGGUGGAAGAAGGUUAUCAGAAUGGCUUCAAAAUUUGCGACCACAAUUGGCGACGUACGAAGGGACAAGGAAUUAAGGUGAUUGCUGGGAGCCUUGGGGAAUGCCAAAGCCUUGCACAUCAGAGAACACCAAGCGGCCGCUACAAUAAGGUAAGCAGAGUUUUUUUUUCUGCUCAAUGUUGGUGUUGUCUGAGUGCAGAGGGGGGUUCCACCUUGGCUCCGAGUAGAUUCCACCUAACCUUGAAAAGGACUUUAAUCAAAUGGUCGCUGUUAUUCUAAGUGAUAAAGUGUUACACUGUAAAAAUAAUGUUGCGGAUGCUGAAGGAGUGGAGUUUAAUACUGCAUCAUAUGUGUGUGUGUUAUUCCUGUAACUUGUGUGACCCGCGGGGGUAGUGUGAGUGAGCGCUGUAUGUGUGUGUGCGUAUUUGGGGUUUGUGUGUGUGAGAGGCUGCUCUGCCCUGUGCUGGAGUGUGACUCCAGGGCUGUGUUGGGGGAGUUUGGGUUUAUUUUUCCGCUAUUCUUUAGUGCAUCUGAAGAAUAGGCGUAAGUUGCACAGAAGUACAAAGUUGAAGUGAUGAAAAGUGAUGAAAAGUGAUAAAAGUGAUGAAAAGUGAAAUAUAUGUCGGCACCCCCAAGGUGGUUACCGCUGGAAACCUAGUUAUCCAUUUAAGUAGAUAAGGUGAUAUAGGCUAACUAGGUUAACCAUUUAAUUGGUUAACCUGGUUAACCCAAGUGAAUUGCUAGGUAGUCAGGACUGCUCGGCUUUGGGGGAUUUUUGGGGAUAAAUUCCUAGCCAGUAACGCGGGGACUUGGGGCUCACAGUAGGGAUCUGAGGGCUUUCGAGUCCACCGGUCUGGACGGGCUACAUGAAAUGCGCGCGUCGCGGAAUGAAAGGCGACACCUUCGGCCCAAGUGUAAAUAUGUAAAUAGCUGUUACUAACCUUUAAGUAUAAUCGCUGCUGUAAAUAUUGCUAAGAAGUAGUCUAGAGUAUAACAAUGUAUUGCUGUAAAUAUUGCUUAAAAUAACUCUUGCCGUAAAUAAGAGUUAGAGGAAUACGCGUAAGGGGUGGGUUUUGAUAAAUAAAUACGGAAAAGGGAAGUUAGUAGGUAGAUGAGUAAAAAGUUGUAGAGGGACUGAUUUGAGAGACUAAAAAAAACUGAGCUCACUGUGCUGCAGAGCGCUGUGUCUGCAGGCAGUUUUUGAAUCAUCCCUACGGUAUGUGGAGGAGUGAGAGGAGCAUCAGAGCAGUGAAAAGAGAUAAGUCUGCAAAAAUUAAGAGUUGUUGAAUAUAAAGAGGAAAAUAGACACUGCUGCUGAAAAAUAAUGUUGUUGUUUAAGGAAUUUAAACAGAAAGAUCUGUAGAAAUAAUAUUUGUCAAGCAGCAAUAUGAAGUAAGGGGGAAAAUUUGUGGGUAAAUUUCAGUAAAAGAAGAUAUUAAAUUACCAAAACAGGGAUAAUGAGUAAAUAGGGAUUGCAGGCACUUUUUUUUUGGAUUAUUAGCUUAAUAAAAGUAUGACCAAAAGUUAAAUAAAUUGGAAAUAGAGCUGCUUGACUAAAGUAAAAAAGGAUAACCUAACCUAGAGCUAAAUUGUAACAUAUCCAAACUAAUAACAGUAAGAAAGAGAACUAUAAAUUAAUUCUAAUAAUAAAACAUAGCUGGGAUAAAACUCAGGCCUAAAAUAAUUAGAGGGAAAGUAAAUAAAUCACACAAACAAAUAAUAAAUGAAACAGAGAGGUUUGUGUUGUGUUUGGAGAAAUAUAGAAGGUAGUGGUGAUGAUCUAAGAACAUCUGAACAUCUUAGUAAGGAAUGAGAGAUAGAGACCAAAUAAAAAGAACAUGUUUGGGCUACAACGGAGAUAAGAGAGUCAAAAGAGCUUCCAUAAAUCGAUCUCAGUAAAAUGCAGGAGUUGUAGAAGAAUCUAAUAAUGUCUCAGAGUUUGCAUGUGAAAUGUAUAUUGAGGGUUUGUUAUCACUCACCAAAGAAUAGUAAAUAAUGAAGUUUUGUCUGUUGUAGAGAGUUCUGCCGAGGGGUCAUAAACUCACCCAAAAGCAUACAGAGAGUGCAAGAGGCACCUGAGUAAUAUGAUGUGAAAUGAAUGAUUGUUGGAAAUAAAUUGUGUGAAGCUUAGAGGAGUUCAGAAUAAACAGGCUGACAUGUUGGGUGAAGUGGUCAUGAGGACAGAUAUGAACAAAUUAACAAUAAGAGACACCUGCUAGAAAUCUGUUUAAAAUGCUGCCGUCACAAAUAAGUAGUUGGGAAGAGAAAAGAAGGUAGACAGGUUUAAAUGCAACUAACUGAUAUAUCAAACCCAGAGCAUAAUAGCUAAAAUCACUGGAUGGAAAAUAGUGAAGUGAAAUAGAAGAGUUUUGUUGGAAAUGGUGGUUUAAUAAGUCAGAGAUUGUGACUUAACAAUUUCAAGUAAAGUUUAGCGCCUGUUGAGUGUGGCAGAGGGAGACAGUAGCAAAAAAAGGAAAAGUGUUGUACUGAGCUCACACCAGCUGAGCCGCUGCUGCAGGAGGCGGCCCGUAAACAGCAUCACAGGGUGUAGCUGGCUCAAGUUGCUCUGACUGUGGAGUGUGUGGGGUGGGCCCCGACAUCCUGCCAAGAGUGUCCUUGACCAGUGCACAGUGCACAGGCUUUCAAGUGAUCUAAGCCAAAUGCAAGUGUGUGAGAAGAAGAGUAAAAGACUGACCUGCAUGUCUCAAAGAGGUUAUUGUUAUGGUGAGCUUGUGCGAAGCUCAGAGGAGUCACCUGAGACAGGAAGCAAAAUAGUUUGCUUAAAAAAGAAAAAAAAAAGAAAAAGAUGUAACUUGUUUGUAAAGUUUAAGGCCCACAGCAGUGAAGAUGCUUAAACAAGUGAUCAAAUGCUGAGUACUAUGAACAAAAAACAACAAAAAUGUAAAAAAGAAUAGCGCCCAUUAGAGUGAGGAACAGGAAGAAAGAAGCUCUAAAUUUGAGAAUAAAAUAUUAGAAGAAACACCUGAGAGGAAAAUGAUAAGGCCAGUAGACUGGUUCUCAGGUAAAUUAAAAUAAAUAUAAUAAACUAUUAAAAUAAGAACAGGGAAGUAAGACAGAACUGAAUGACGGAGGGGCAUAAGACAUAACAGUAGAGAAGCAGUGGAAAGAAUUGAGAAUAAUAUAAUUCAGUGAGUAAACAAAAAGCCUAAGUACAAUGACAACUGAUUAGAGUGUAAUGGUAACAAUAACAAGACAGUAAUUAGAAAGAUGUAAUAAAUAAUGCCAUUAAAUGUAAUAGUAAAGUGAGAGGAAGAGUAGGUAAGAAUGAAAAGUGAUUACACUCAAGCACUGUAGAGAGGAAAAAAAAAAGGUUAAAUCUAAAGAAAAAGAUUAUUUGCUUGGGAAAAGAAAUAACAGAAAUAAAGUUGUGGGAUGCAUGGCUGGUUAACCUGCAGCUGUGGAUCAUUAGAAAUGCUGAUCAAUAAAAUAAAAAGCAUGAUUAGAUAUUGUAUGGGGGAAGGGAUUAUUAAAGGGAUCUUUUGUAUCUAAAACACUCGCCUUGAUGCUGGUCAGACUGUGUGUAAUCCUUCUUCUAUAGCUAUGAGAGAAAUAACAUCUAGAAAAGUGUCAGAGGUGCGUGACAUAAGAGGGCCUUAACCCUUUAAGGCCUCGAGUGUCAGGCUUGAAUCAGGAAAUAUUUAAGUUUUAAGAGUCCCAAAACAUCAGAGUGAUUUUUACCAUCCAAGAAAGUAAAUAAAUAAAUAAAUUGCACUUUAUACAUUUAAGGAAUAACUUGCAAAAUGCUGUCUUUAGCAAAUGCAAUAUGGUAAUUCUUACAUAUGCAAAAUUACUAUUGCUUUUAAUUUGUCAAGUUUAAUAGGUAUUGUGACAAAAUUUGGGGGUAAUUGUUUCAGGAAUCAGGGUUUUGAAUAGUGACAGCGUUAAUCCCACAGCUGCAUCUUGUCACUUACAGGAAAGUUGGGCAGAAAAACAUAAAACUGUUGUAUAUGAUAAUAAAGCCCCUAUGAUUUUGUUUUAGUUUUACAAGAAAAAUAAAAGCAAAUAUAGAUAAAUCUCUGCUAAAUCUAAGCUCCCUAAAUAAGCAGUGUGCAUCAUGCAGGGGGGAAAUACACAGGAGCAGGGUUUGGAGGGGAUGAUAUAGCCUUUGUUCCAGCAAAAGCUGGUAAUUAGAAAUAAAACACAUUAACCUAAAAUGCAAUAAGGAGAAAUCAAAAGUUGAGCCUGUGUAUUAAAAAACAAAACAAACAAAAAACCAUGACAAAAGUGAUUAUGGCUUAGAAGAGGAGAAGUAAACACGAGGAAGUUUGAGAUGUAGGAAGUUAGAUAAAGGAGCUGAAGAGUGAAGAGUGAUUAGACAGGUGGGACAAAGAAAGUUGUGAGUCAGAGGAAAGGAAGCUAAAUAAGAGAAUUCAAAGACCAGGAGUAAGAUAAUGGAGAGUAACAUGAGGUCGAGCUCACAGGCAAAAACAAAAGAAAAAAGUGGAGCAAAUGAAAACAGUUACUAACUGAUGUAUGCACAUACUUCAAACAACGAUUCUCCUGCUAUGGAAAAAAGAAAUACCUCCUUACAGAUGAAGGAGCUCACCAACUGAAGGGGAGAAACACAGAUCACCAGUGAAAGACACCAGGCCAUGAGCCUGUGGAGUAGAGCAACACUGGCACUGCGAAGGCCUACGUCACUGAUGAGGCCUGCACAAAGGUGGAGAGCAGGAGUCAGCUGUAUGACGACAUCCAAUGGCUGGCACAGGUGAAAGCCCAGGAACUCCAGAGAGGAGCGUCCAAGUGAAGAUCCACAAUUCAUGAAACCGAGUCUCCUUGAGUCCAAUGAAAGACUGUAUCUGCAGAGGGCUGGAAAAGUGUAUUAAAACACACUUUUAGUCAGCUGACAUACUCAUCAAUCUGCUGAGGACUGACAAUCGGUGGCCUCUAAGAGCCAACAUCGUCUGCAUCUGGGAUGUUCUCUGUGUGGAUGUUCCUGGAGAACUCCGAGAGGAAUGUGGGCAGCACCAUAACAACAAGGAAGUUACUGCCAAGAGAAGUCUUCAGUACAUGGACUGUGACUGAUACCAGAGUACUAUCCAUGAUAUCUGCAGUGAACAACAUGAAGCAGCUGCAUCAGUAACGCUCCCAACAAACUAAUAAGUUUAAAGCCCUGGGCUCCACCCCUUGUGUUACUCUCCCAGUAGAAAAAGAACACAAAUAAUAAGAACUAGGCCACAUGAAAGCAUUAGAUAGGAGAUUAUUAGAAAUAUAUUCAUUACUAACACUCUUACAUUAGAAUAUUAUUUAAGAUUAGGAAAUUUGAAUACAUAAAGGGCGCAGACAUGACUCCCACUGACACUAGAACAGAUACACACAGAGCAUUAGAACCCCAGUAGGGCAUGGGACAGAUAAGUAAACUUAGGGAAGUUAUUAAUCACCUUAUGAGCAUUGCAUUAUUGAAGGGAUGAAACUUACACAUGGGGAUUUACUAAAAACUGGGGUACUGAUGAAACUCGGGAUCCCUGGUAACAUGAAAUGAGAAAUUUAAACAUCUGCUGUUUCUGACCCUGGUACACUGCUCUUGGGUAUCCUCCUGACAUGUAUGUAACUGUGUGGGUGCAAAUGUGUACAUAUGUGUAAAUCUGUAUGCAGAUAUGACAAAUAAUCUGUCUUUUGUCUUUUUCAGUGCGACUACAUAUAGACCAGUGGCAGCUACCUCCGUUCAUGUGUUGAAGCUAAUAGUAAGAUGCUAGCUCUAAACGUGCAGCACUAAACCAUCCAUAGUGCGAUAAUUCAGUGUGUGUGCAAUUUGUAGUUACUUUCAAAUGGAAGAAAGAUAAAAAUGAAUGCAGUGUGGAGGAGAAAGCAGUGAAGGAUUCUGUCAUAAUCUUAACUGCAUUGGGAAAAGGGGGGAACAUAUAGCUUAGCAGAGCUAAAUUGUUAACUCUCCCAAAGAAUGAACCAAACAAAAAAAGGAGAAAAUCUAAAUUAUCAGAUAUUUUGGAGGGAAAGAGGCUAAAGCCUGAUCCCCUAUAAAAUGAGCAAACCUCAAUUUAGAAAAAUGGGGCCUAAAUUAUCUUUCCUGUGUGUGGCAGGGUCCAGUUGUCUGUGGAUUGACAUAUUUAAAUUACUCAAAUGCUUACUCUAGCAAAAACUGCAGAGCUAAAUGACUCUAUUCUAGUUCUAUUCUAGUUCCAGUGUGAAGAGGUAGAGUUUGAAGCACUGAGGAGGGACAUGCAGUCUGACCGGGCACAUGGCAACCAAAAGGAAAGAGAAGAACAUUUCAUUGGUAUGGGGCAAACUGAGAAGAUUAAGCAUCACUCUGGGACAGGACUUUAGAGAUAUUGCAGAAAUUGAAGAAAGCAGUCCUUAAUAUUCGCUUAUUAGCACAUAUUGGGAUAAAAAAAUGACUCCAGGAAACCUCACAGUGUUAAUGGAGACCAAGGUAAUGCCAUUCAGAGCAUUCCUUUAGGUUGACUGACAGGUGUGUGUUGUUUGGCUUCAUGGAUGAAUGAGAGAGAGGGUGUCAUCAGCACGGCAGAGGUAUGUUGUGUCUUUUGUGGUGUUACCUGAAGGAGGCAUGUGUUAUGUAAAUAGAAAUAGAUCCUGGUGUGAAACCUUGUGAAGCUCAAUGGUUAGUCUUGUGUAUGUGGGAGGAUUCUUAGAAUAACAUGUUAUGGUCACAAGUGUCGGACAUAGAGAUCAAUCCACUGUCAGAGGCCUUAAGAAGAUCAUUUUUAACUUUCAUCAAAGCUGUCUCUAUACUGUGAUGUGCUCUGAAACCUGACUGAAACUCUUUAAAUAAGGCAUUCCUCUGUGGCUAUUUUACAGCAUCUCUUGUGGGGAUUUUUGACAUAAAGGAAAGUUGGAGAUUGGCCUAUAAUUGGCUAGGACAGUUAGGUCAAGUGAUGGUUUAACUACUGCCAAUAUGAAGAACUGUGUGGUUAAUAUUGCAUUGUCUAACUUAGCUUUGAAAAUUUCAAUUCUGUGGCUAUAGAGGUGUGGGAAGUUUGAUCAGCCAUAUAGCCAGCAACACUAAGUAGAGGGCUAAAAGUGUUAAUGAUGAAAUGUGAAUUGGCUGGUAACAGAGUUAAUGUUUAUCCAAAUUCAGCAUAUAAAUUUGACAUGUGCUCAAAUAGUGUUUAAGAACGAAGAAGAUCUUAGAGAAGCCAACAGAGCCCCAAUACUGUAUGAAGAAGCAGUAACUCAGCUCCUAGUCGCCCUAAAGCUCCCUGGUGCUUUGGCUGUGAUUAGAUGUCUUGAUCACCAGAAAACAGACACAUGAAUGGCUAAAUGAAACAACAUGUUAGAGCUUUACUAUGCACUUCCUAAAUUGAUAGCUAGGUAAAGAUAAGUAAAGCUUUCUCUUUAUAACAGCAUUUGGGACAAACAUUUCAAGGUGCUCCACAAAAUAAAGCAAUGAAUUGGAAUUUGUUAAGGAAGAGGUCAACUGGGUACAAAUAUUAACUCUAGUACUAAGGUGCAUGCAGUUGUGAACUAACAAGACUACAACAACUAACACUGCAUGGCAUACUCACAAAUGUCCAUAGAUAAGUCCUCAUAAAGGGCCUGUAUUGCUAACUGUGAACACAACUAAUGCAGUCUGCAAAGCUAUCUUUCUGCAGGAGAUGGCUUCUGGAUGGCAGAUGGAGAUGCAGAGGUCCUGGAGCAGGUGCUGGCAAUCUGAUGACGAGUGCGAGGGAACAACGGGGUGAAACAGGCUGCUCCAGACAGCUGAGCCAUGACCCAUCCAGCAGCUGUUGAACCUGCUGCAGAGCCUACAGCCCAGGUGGAGCUGUACAGUGCCCAAACCAGCUUCCGAAUGAUGGAUGUGCAAGAUCAACUACUACCCAUCGCCGACCCUGACUUUAAUCAAGAGUAGGACCAAGUCGUCUCGAGUAUUCUUAGAAGCUAUGCAAGAUCCAGCAGUCAAGAAGUACCAAGAGAGACUUUUCUCGGACUCAUAAAUUGGUUGAAAUAUGGACUGAAAAAGGGACA
Molecule: long non-coding RNA, 8043 nt
Organism: Oreochromis niloticus (Nile tilapia)
Lineage: Eukaryota; Metazoa; Chordata; Actinopteri; Cichliformes; Cichlidae
Exons: 2
Source: RefSeq, a predicted model, not a curated record